Molecule: long non-coding RNA, 577 nt
Organism: Oncorhynchus masou masou (cherry salmon)
Lineage: Eukaryota; Metazoa; Chordata; Actinopteri; Salmoniformes; Salmonidae
Exons: 3
Source: RefSeq, a predicted model, not a curated record
UGGGCCGAGCUGGGGGAUCCGAUGACGUCACGCACCAAACACUGUCACUCACUCCCUCUCUCUCUACCUCUGUCUUUCGCUCUCCCCUCUCCCUCUUUCAGAUGUUCUAUUCUGGGAAAUUGUGCCAGGAAUAAUAGCUUCGGCGUCUUCCUCACAAACUGAAAAAUCGUGUCGAGGAGGAUGUUUUACUCACAAGGUGUCUUCAUUUAGUAGCAGCAUAAGGCUUUAGAAUAGUCAUACGGAAGUCGAUCUUUUUUUGGUGCUAAUUCUUGUUUAAUUUUUCACUCUUGAGUCUUGAACGCUUUUAUCCGACAAUUAGCGAAGUGUCAAGAGCGUUGUCAUAGGUUGCAAUUUAUUUGGGAUUUUACCGGACGUGGGUUUUUGCACGGCACCUGAAGUGUGACACGGCUGUGCCGAUGCCCUGGAGGAGUGUGAACGCUGUGUGACGUCCUCGCAAGUCGCUCUCCUUGGCUGCACAACAGGAAACACUUGUGGCCUCCCUCCUUCCUGCGCUCAGAAAGAGGGCGUGUGAAGAGGGUGUGUGCCUGGAUAGGCUUGCCAGGACUGCCAGGCAGAA